CUGAUAGAUGUGAGGUGAUACCUCAUUGUGGUUUUGAUUUGCAUUUCCCUGAUGAGUGAUGUUGAGCCUCUUUUCCUGUGCCUGUUUGGCCAUUUGUCUAUCUUCUUUGGAGAAAUGUCUGUUCACGUCUUCUGUCCAUUUUUAAUCAAAAAUUGUUUUAACGUUGAGUUGUAUAAAUUCUUUAUAUAUUUUGGAUAGUAACCCUUUAUCAGAUAUGUCAUUUGCAAAUACCUUCUCCUAUUCAGUAAGUUGUCUUUUAGUUUUGUUGAUUCUUUUCUUUGCUGUGUAGAAGCUUUUUAUUUUGAUGUAGUCCCAACAGUUUAUUUUGACUUUUAUUCCUGGGAAACAUUUAAAAUCAUGCCUUUUCUUUAUCGAAUCUGUCACCAGGUCUAUUGUUUGUUACUUCAAAAGCUUCCUUUAAAUACAUAUUUUUUUCCCGCUAAACCUAUGGCCAUCUAUCUUUCUUCCCUUUUUUACCCCAUGUAGAAUCUCAUCACACCAGACCUGAAUCUCAUCACUACUCUAGCAGCUUCCUGGAUGGGCUCUGGGCCUCGUGCUUCUCCUUACUAAUGCAUUUCACAUACACUGAUAGAUUAUUAAUGCUCUUGAACCAUGGCUUUAAUCAUAUUAUUUUCUAUUGAAAGAACAUGUAUUUGUUCACUAUUGGAUACUGUGUAUUAAUUUCAGUUUCCGGGGCAGCCCCGGUGGCUCAGCGGUUUAGCGCCGCCUUCAGCCCAGGGCACGAUCCUGGAGACCCGGAAUCGAGUCCGAUGUUGGGCUCCCUGCAUAGAGCCUGCUUCUCCCUCUGCCUGUGUCUCUGCCUCUCUCUCUCUUUGGGUCUCUCAUCAAUGAAUAAAUAAAAUCUUAAAAAAAAUAAUUUCAGUUUCCUUUGUUUAGCUUUCAAGACCCCCAAAGGAGUAGUAAGGAUUCAGUAUAUUCUAUUUAUUGUAAAGAAAGCACAGGACCACUAAAUCUAAGGCAGUUAGUUAUUCACGGAACUUGGUGAAUAGUGGACUAUACCAGGCAGAGAAGCUUGGCAGCAGCUCUGCUCCUAGAUGAGGACGCCCCUUGCUUUGUAACCACACCCAACAUCAUUGGAGACAACUUCAGUGGGACUUGUACAACCUGCUCCUGCCACCCAAACUGCUAAAAGUAAAAAUGAAUCCUGGAUAAAGGUGUCUUUAGGAAGGCUGGUGAGCAUGUGUGAAUUCAAUCUGAUGGUGAGUGACUGAAUAUAUACACAGAUAAUGGCCAGACCAUUUGUAAAAAAAGAGCUCUGACCCAUAAGCUGCAGCAAUCAGCCCACGAUAUAUAGUAACCAGCCUAGGAUGCAAGCCUGCUUCCAUCAAACUUGUAAGAAGCCAGAUAACUAUCCAUAGUAACAAUCCAGGAAGCUAAUCAAUCUCUUCUGUAACAAUUGUCUCAAAAUGGCCAAGACUUGAUUAAUAACUGACAGUUUCCCUAAUUUUUGGCCCUUCUUCUAACUCAGAUCCAACCAGAGAAAGUCAAAUAUAUACUUCUACCCAGUUAUGGAGGAUUCUAGUUAACUGCCUACAGUUUCCCCAUGCCUAUGGCUCCAUCAAGGCACCUGAAGCCUUCCCUAUUCCUCAGUUGAAAAGCCUCUGUCAAAACCCAAGUGAUGGUGGCUUAUUCCCUUGCAAUAGCAGGCUCUGAAUAAAUAACCUUUGCUUCUCUCAUUUGGUUGCUCUUAAUUUAUUCUACAACAGGUUUAUUUAAA
RNAcentral lists this long non-coding RNA (1738 nucleotides) under Canis lupus familiaris (dog). RNAcentral's name for it is "lncRNA (ENSCAFG00000054918.1)". Lineage: Eukaryota; Metazoa; Chordata; Mammalia; Carnivora; Canidae. The record is from RNAcentral.